This 480-nucleotide ribosomal RNA is filed under the name uncultured bacterium. RNAcentral describes it as "partial 16S ribosomal RNA". It matches the Rfam family "Bacterial small subunit ribosomal RNA", at positions 30 to 507 of the family's 1533-position model. The record is from RNAcentral.
UGAACGCUGGCGGCAUGCUUUCCACAUGCAAGUCGAACGGUAACAGGCCGCAAGGUGCUGACGAGUGGCGAACGGGUGAGUAAUGCAUCGGAACGUGCCCAGUCGUGGGGGAUAACUACUCGAAAGAGUAGCUAAUACCCCAUACGAUCUAUGGAUGAAAGCGGGGGACCGUAAGGCCUCGCGCGAUUGGAGCGGCCGAUGUCAGAUUAGGUAGUUGGUGGGGUAAAGGCUCACCAAGCCAACGAUCUGUAGCUGGUCUGAGAGGACGACCAGCCACACUGGGACUGAGACACGGCCCAGACUCCUACGGGAGGCAGCAGUGGGGAAUUUUGGACAAUGGGCGCAAGCCUGAUCCAGCAAUGCCGCGUGCAGGAAGAAGGCCUUCGGGUUGUAAACUGCUUUUGUACGGAACGAAACGGCUCUGGUUAAUACCCGGGGCUAAUGACGGUACCGUAAGAAUAAGCACCGGCUAACUACGUG